GCUGGGCGUGGUGGUGCACGCCUGUAAUCCCCACAGCUUGGAAGGCUGAGGCAGGAGGAUAGCGAGUUCAAAGUCAGCCUCAG
RNAcentral lists this small RNA (83 nucleotides) under Marmota monax (woodchuck). Lineage: Eukaryota; Metazoa; Chordata; Mammalia; Rodentia; Sciuridae. The record is from RNAcentral.